This is a long non-coding RNA of Rhopalosiphum padi (bird cherry-oat aphid), 561 nucleotides long. RefSeq lists it as uncharacterized. The record is from RefSeq and is a predicted model, not a curated record. Lineage: Eukaryota; Metazoa; Arthropoda; Insecta; Hemiptera; Aphididae. The transcript has 3 exons.
UAUAUUGAUGUAGAUAGGUAUAUUAAUAUUAUACAUAGUUAUUAAUCAAAUAUUAAUACCUAUACUUAAUGUGAUUAUAUAUAUUUUAUUAUUAUAUAUUUUUGUUUUGUACAUUUUGUUCACUGUUUUACCAUCAGUACUUUAGUUUCUGUUUGUGGUUUAUUACGAGCCUAGAGUUUGCGACUGUUAUUUGUCAAUGAUGGUGAAAGUUCCAUACCAAUGUUCAGUUUUGGGAUGCAAAGCAAAAGUAAACAGUGAAUCCACUACCAACAAUAGUUUUGUUCGUCUGAUGAUAAUAUGUUACAUAUUGCAUCUAUUAAUGACAAUUUUAACUUAUCUGGUUUCAAUCUAUUAGAUCCCGAUGAAAAUGAUAAAUUAGUUGGUAUGUAAGAACUAAAUCAACUAAAACAGAUAAGUACAAGAAUAAGCAACUAUCGAUGACUUCUAUUGACAUUUCUGAAAACAUAGAUCAACAUAAUAUUAGAUAUAAAUCUAAUGUAAGCUUGCCUACUGAACUACUGGCGAAUUCUAGUGAAAAAAUUGUUCUAGAAGAAAAUAAUU